GACAGAGGUGCCAAGCGUUAGGCGGAAUCACUGGGCUUAAAGCGUGUGUAGGCGGAUCGUUAAGUACCUUGUGAAAUCCCACGGCUCAACCGUGGAACUGCUGGGUAUACUGGCGAUCUUGAGCCACCUAGGGGCGAGCGGAACAAGCGGUGGAGCGGUGAAAUGCGUAGAUAUCUGGAGGAAUACCGGUGGCGAAGGCGGCAUCCUGGACCAUUACUGACGCUGAGGCGCGAAAGCUAGGGGAGCAAACGGG
Molecule: ribosomal RNA, 253 nt
Filed under: uncultured bacterium
Lineage: Bacteria
Description: partial 16S ribosomal RNA
Rfam family: Bacterial small subunit ribosomal RNA
Source: RNAcentral